Molecule: ribosomal RNA, 235 nt
Filed under: uncultured bacterium
Lineage: Bacteria
Description: partial 16S ribosomal RNA
Rfam family: Bacterial small subunit ribosomal RNA
Source: RNAcentral
GCAACAUCGGUCCAAUCCUUAAAGUCAUCCUCAGUUCGGACUGGGGUCUGCAACCCGACCCCACGAAGCUGGAUUCGCUAGUAAUCGCGCAUCAGCCAUGGCGCGGUGAAUACGUUCCCGGGCCUUGUACACACCGCCCGUCAAGCCAUGAAAGCCGGGGGCGCCUGAAGUCCGUGACCGCGAGGGUCGGCCUAGGGUGAAACCGGUGAUUGGGGCUAAGUCGUAACAAGGUAGC